RNAcentral lists this ribosomal RNA (501 nucleotides) under uncultured bacterium. RNAcentral's name for it is "partial 16S ribosomal RNA". It matches the Rfam family "Bacterial small subunit ribosomal RNA", at positions 30 to 523 of the family's 1533-position model. The record is from RNAcentral.
AUUGAACGCUGGCGGCAGGCUUAACACAUGCAAGUCGAGCGGGGGGAGGUAGCUUGCUACCGGACCUAGCGGCGGACGGGUGAGUAAUGCUUAGGAAUCUGCCUAUUAGUGGGGGACAACAUCUCGAAAGGGAUGCUAAUACCGCAUACGUCCUACGGGAGAAAGCAGGGGAUCUUCGGACCUUGCGCUAAUAGAUGAGCCUAAGUCGGAUUAGCUAGUUGGUGGGGUAAAGGCCUACCAAGGCGACGAUCUGUAGCGGGUCUGAGAGGAUGAUCCGCCACACUGGGACUGUGACACGGACCAGACUCCUACGGGAGGCAGCAGUGGGGAAUAUUGGACAAUGGGGGGAACCCUGAUCCAGCCAUGCCGCGUGUGUGAAGAAGGCCUUAUGGUUGUAAAGCACUUUAAGCGAGGAGGAGGCUACUUUAGUUAAUACCUAGAGAUAGUGGACGUUACUCGCAGAAUAAGCACCGGCUAACUCUGUGCCAGCCGCCGCGGUAA